Schizosaccharomyces pombe (fission yeast) is the source of this 1294-nucleotide non-coding RNA. The record is from the annotation of a GenBank genome assembly. NCBI's taxonomy places the organism in Eukaryota, Fungi, Ascomycota, Schizosaccharomycetes, Schizosaccharomycetales, Schizosaccharomycetaceae.
AUCUUCUGCUAUUCUCAAAUUCACUUAGGAUAAAAACCUUAGGAAGAAUCACUUGAAUCAUCGGAGAGCUCACUACGCUUCCUUUUUUCCUUCCUCUGGUUGUAAGGCUUUAUAUUACUUCCAUUCACCACAAAGCAAUAAUGUCGUGAAUCUCGCAAUUCACCUUUCCAUGGCGAUCUCUCGCUGAUUCCAUCAAUCCAACCGAUAGUUCUUCUGUGUGAAUAUUCGGGAUAAAAAGAAGAGUCAAACUUUUCAGUCAUCAGACUCGUAUACCCUGCAUCCUUGGCUAAACCUUUCAAAUUCCACAAAGUGUAAGGUUUGGUCUCCGCUAAAGUUAUUACAAUUACGCCUUUUUCUGACAGAAGGAAUUUAGAUGCUUUAAAAAAGGCAAGAAGCAUUUCUAGAAUUAAUUAGCGAUAUUCGAGAUAUGUCUCAUUAAAAGUAAUAAAAGCUAUUAUGAACGGCGUUUCCAAAUUUAUUUUUUAAAUUAUUUACGAAUAAAAAACUUUAACUUCAAACUUACUUUGAUUAUCCAAAAUGUUGCGGUCUUGAUCCUUAAUUCCUUUCCCCGAGUGAGGAAAAUUCCAAAAUAUAGUAUCAAAUUUUUGUGUCUUAAGCUUUUUAUGCAGAUGCAGUUUCGUUGCAUCAAUUUCAUGCAUAACCUUUCCCCCAUUUAUUUCUAUUUUUGAGAUGUAUUCAGCAGCAUCUGGAUAUUUCUGCUUUAAAUCUUCUUUAGAGUCAUAGCUGGUAGCUAACACAAACCCCUCAGAUGAUACAUGAUGUAGCAAUAAUGAAAAAGCAAACGAAAAGUUGCCUUCUCCCAAUAAUAGAAAUCUAUUGUUUUUUUCAAAUGGGAGUACAUAUCGCUCAGUGGGGCCUUUGUUCUUCCCUUUUCCAAUUUUGUCGUUUGUUAAAGAAUUCUGGCUAUUUAUACUUGACGAACCAAUAGCAUUAUUUAAAUUUCUUUUUUGAAGACGUCUUGCUUCUUUAAAACGAGCCUUUUUCCCCAUAUGAAUGAAAACGAUUGUUUUCAAUUAUUUGGCUAAAGACACUUCACUACUCGUGGAUACAAAUUUAGGUGUAACCCAAUGUUCUCUUACUCGCUUGCUUAAUCUUUAAAAUAAAAAGCGAGUUAAACGGAAUGUAAGAAUAAAAAUUUUCACGACAAACUAGCAAUAAGUAAACUAGUAUUUUCUCAAUGAACUGUUUUGAUAUAUCCUAAUUUAACUCUUGCUUAAUAUAUCUUUAGAAACAAAUAUACAUCAGUUUAGUGAAAUAUACGAUAUAUAUGGUG